UUCAGGACCCAAAGUAUAGAGCUGACUGUU
This 30-nucleotide non-coding RNA is filed under the name Mus musculus (house mouse). The record is from RNAcentral. Lineage: Eukaryota; Metazoa; Chordata; Mammalia; Rodentia; Muridae.